UACGUAGGUGGCAAGCGUUAUCCGGAUUUAUUGGGCGUAAAGGGAACGCAGGCGGUCUUUUAAGUCUGAUGUGAAAGCCUUCGGCUUAACCGGAGUAGUGCAUUGGAAACUGGGAGACUUGAGUGCAGAAGAGGAGAGUGGAACUCCAUGUGUAGCGGUGAAAUGCGUAGAUAUAUGGAAGAACACCAGUGGCGAAAGCGGCUCUCUGGUCUGUAACUGACGCUGAGGCGCGAAAGCGUGGGGAGCAAACAGG
This 253-nucleotide ribosomal RNA is filed under the name uncultured bacterium. RNAcentral's name for it is "partial 16S ribosomal RNA". It matches the Rfam family "Bacterial small subunit ribosomal RNA", at positions 524 to 776 of the family's 1533-position model. The record is from RNAcentral.